GUUUGGCAUACAAGCUGCCCUCUGCAGUGGGCUGGCCGGUGGGCAGGGUGGUGCUUGCGCGAACCUGCUUUUAAUCAAAUCCAGGCUUGCCGUCCGAAGAGCAGACAGCCACAGGGAACAGGAGUCUCCCUACCUGGCCACGGGGCAACACUUGUUUUGUCUCCUCUGGGCCACUGGCAGAUGGAGGCCCCGGCAGUCCUUAAACCAUGCCUGAGGGUGAGUGGUUGGGAGCCAGCUCUGUCCACACUGAGCAACUGAUUGUCACCAACUUGUGCUGAGACCCGUUUCUCUAAGCCUGUGGAGGGGAAAGAUGCCUGGUGUGUGACGGUCAUCAAGUUCCCAGCCUGUGGCCUAAGGGGCUCUGUGGGUCCUGAAGCAACUGGAAGGAGUCCUGGAAGCCAAAUUCCCACCAAAUACCUUCUAAAGCAAUCCAUCCAAUAUGGUAUCCAUUAGCCACAUGUGGCUAUUGAGCAUUUGACAUGAGGCCAUUGUGAUAUGCUGAAGUAUAAAAUAUACAAUAGAUUUUGAAGAUUUUGUAUGAAAAAAAGAAUGUAAACUAUCUUAUUAAUACGUUUUUAGUAUCAAUCAUAUGUGAACUGAUAAUACUCUGGUACUAUUGGGUUAAAUGUGAUAUAUUAUUAAAAUUAUUGCCACUU
Myotis myotis is the source of this 656-nucleotide long non-coding RNA. RefSeq lists it as uncharacterized. Lineage: Eukaryota; Metazoa; Chordata; Mammalia; Chiroptera; Vespertilionidae. The record is from RefSeq and is a predicted model, not a curated record. The transcript has 2 exons.